RNAcentral lists this ribosomal RNA (254 nucleotides) under uncultured bacterium. RNAcentral describes it as "partial 16S ribosomal RNA". It matches the Rfam family "Bacterial small subunit ribosomal RNA", at positions 524 to 776 of the family's 1533-position model. The record is from RNAcentral.
UACAGAGGGUGCGAGCGUUGUUCGGAAUUACUGGGCGUAAAGCGCGCGCGGGCGGCUUCCUAAGUCCGUUGGUGAAAGUUCGGGGCUCAACCCUGAAUCGGCCGUCGAUACUCCCGAGCUCGAGCACUGUAGAGGCAGAUGGAAUUCCGGGUGUAGCGGUGGAAUGCGUAGAGAUCCGGAAGAACACCGGUGGCGAAGGCGGUCUGCUGGGCAGUAGCUGACACUGAGGCGCGACAGCGUGGGGAGCAAACAGG